AUUGAACGCUGGCGGCAGGCCUAACACAUGCAAGUCGAGCGGCAGCGCGGGGAAGCUUGCUUUCCUGGCGGCGAGCGGCGGACGGGUGAGUAACGCGUGGGAAUCUGCCCAGUAGCGGGGGAUAACCCGGGGAAACUCGGGCUAAUACCGCAUACGCCCUACGGGGGAAAGAGGGGGACCUUCGGGCCUCUCGCGCUAAGAUUAGCCCAGGUGGGAUUAGCUAGUUGGUGAGGUAAAGGCUCACCAAGGCAACGAUCCCUAGCUGGUCUGAGAGGAUGAUCAGUCACACUGGAACUGAGAUACGGUCCAGACUCCUACGGGAGGCAGCAGUGGGGAAUAUUGGACAAUGGGGGAAACCCUGAUCCAGCGAUGCCGCGUGUGUGAAGAAGGCCUGCGGGUUGUAAAGCACUUUCAGUAGAGAAGAAAAGCUCUCGGUUAAUACCCGGGGGUCUUGACGUAACCUACAGAAGAAGGACCGGCUAACUCCGUG
This 490-nucleotide ribosomal RNA is filed under the name uncultured bacterium. RNAcentral describes it as "bacterial SSU rRNA". It matches the Rfam family "Bacterial small subunit ribosomal RNA", at positions 29 to 507 of the family's 1533-position model. The record is from RNAcentral.